UACGUAGGGACCAAGCGUUGCUCGGAAUUACUGGGCGUAAAGGGUUCGUAGGCGGUGUGGCAAGUCGGAAGUGAAAUCUCCAGGCUUAACUUGGAGGCUGCUUCCGAAACUGCCGUGCUAGAGUGCGAGAGAGGCCAGUGGAAUUGCAGGUGUAGCGGUGAAAUGCGUAGAUAUCUGCAGGAACACCCGUGGCGAAGGCGGCUGGCUGGAUCGCAACUGACGCUGAGGAACGAAAGCUAGGGGAGCAAACAGG
RNAcentral lists this ribosomal RNA (253 nucleotides) under uncultured bacterium. RNAcentral's name for it is "partial 16S ribosomal RNA". It matches the Rfam family "Bacterial small subunit ribosomal RNA", at positions 524 to 776 of the family's 1533-position model. The record is from RNAcentral.